CACACUAAUCUACCUCCCAGGAAGUGGUUGGGGGAGCGCCAAGAGGAGCUGGAGUGACAGCAGGGCACAGAGGCUGCAGUCCUUGCACCGUGCACUUGCAGAGCUGAACACCACUUAACAACGGGAACCUAUGGACACCCAAAAGGACCAGAUGAAUCAUCUCGAAGGACCCGAUAAAUAUCGGUGCUGGGCCCAGGCAUGAGGCUGGGGUUUUGUUUGGGACCCCACACCCACUCGGUGACAGGGCCCCAAGACCAACCUCAGCUGAACGGACCCCCCCCCACUUUCCCAAAGUCAGCUGUUUCUGUCCCUGCAAAUGCCUCUGAAAUGUCAAUUGUGGGCCACUCUCCCUCCACCCUCCUCCUGCGAGUCAUGUAGCAGCUCAAAUAUAUUAUACAUAUUAAAAGAAUAUAUUCUCUGGCAGCCCUGAAGGGGAUAAUGAAACCUAUAUAUAUAUAUCUAUAUAUUUAUACACAAUGGAUUGGCUUGAAAUGCUCUGAAUAUGCCUCCAGCUGUGGCAACCCUUUGAAAUAUGACACUCGAACAACGCCUCCCCCACUGGCGGCUGGCGGGAGACAUUAAAGAUUUAAAAAAGGGGGAAGGAAGGAAGGAGAGGAAGGAGAAGAAAAAGGAGGCAGCUGCUUUUGCCUUUGGCUGUGCAGCGGCAAACUGUGUUUAAAUAUUAAAGCCACCCAUCACCCGGCCCAGCUGUCCGCCCCCUUCAGUGCCAGGGUCUCCGGUGGCUCCGCAUGGCUGGGGGUUGUCAUGCGCAUCUAACCCCUCCAGCCCAGGAGGUGGGGGGGCAGCGAGGCGGGGGGCUUGCCUAGGCUUGGCUGAGAGCAGGGGCCUGGUGUUGGAGUGCGGUGGGGGGAGUCCGCUGCCUCUGAGACAGAAGGUGUAGGUUUGGAUACAGACUCUGCCUGUUAGGUGCUGUGUGACCUUGACCUUGGGGAAAUCUCUGUCUCCAUCUCGGGGCUGCGGUUUCUUCAUCUGUACUAGGAGAGACUUGGACUGCGUCCUGGGGCUUUAGGGGGCCUGUGAACCCUCAAAAAUGACAAGCAGAAUUGGGGCCAGGACAAGGGGAGCACAGGCGCACUGAGUGACUGGCCCUUCUGCGUGUUCCGAGCGUUGUUCCAUCCCGACACUGGUGCUCUCGGGCUCAGGCAGGGCCUCGUUUCCUCUGCCUCUCCAGUUCCUGCAGGGGAGGCACUUUUGAAAUGUUUGUUAAUGAUCAGAGAUACAGGAAGGCACACCAUGUCCCAACAACGCAAUCGAAGGUGGUCAGAAGUGACGUGGCCUAUCUUGCAAGGUGGUGAGCUCCCCGCCACUGAAGGAAUUCAAACAGAGGCCAAGGGAGCUUUUUGGGAGCUCUUCAAGUCUAAGAUCCAGGGGUCUAAGGUUUCAGAAUUCCGGAAUCUAAAGUUUCCAUAACUUGAAGUUUCUGAAAGUCAACAUUUCUAAGACCCUAUGAGUCGAGAAACCUUUAAUCCAAGGGGAGUCAAGAUGGGACUUUCUGUGGGGAAUGUAAGUGAGGGGCGGAGGGGCUAAGGAAUGGAUGUGAACUUUUAUUUUGCUCCCAGGGUGAACCGACUACCCACAGAAAAGAAAUCUAUAAAGAAAUCUGUGCAAAAGAGCCAAGUGGUUUAGCUUCUUUAACUUAGAAAAACACAAAAUAUUUUGUAUCUCCAGACAGGACUGGAGCUCUGGUGGGAGUUUGGUAAAGGAUGGAUUCCUCUGUGUGCUGGCAACCCGCUUCUCCAGAAAAAAUGCCUGAGUCUGCAGUGUCUGCCAAUUUCCAUGGUGCAAAUAUUCCCACCAUGGUCGAUUUCAAGUUUCUGACAGUUCAGCAACCAGUUCCUAAACUUCUUAAAAAUGUAACAGUUGCCUUUUGUGACCUAGCAAAAGCUGGCUGCAGCGUGUCCUGGGAGGGGUGGCUGGCCAGGCCUCCAUAAGUGAGCAGGGAAGGGACAGAGGGGUGUGGUAUGGGCGCUUCUGUUCAAAUGGGAAGAGGGCUGUGCUGACCUCAAGGUGACAUCUGGAUCCUGAUGGGAAGGUUCCUGCCCCCGGGGAGGGAAGGACAGGGCUGCCUGUGCCCCUGUUGGCCAGGGAGGCAUGCAAGGGCAGAGGCUGGGGUUCCCAGCUGCUGGGACUGGGACGGCAGCUGGGUGUGGGGCGGGUGAGGAAAGGCAGCAACUGUCCCUUCCCCAGACCCUCGCCUCAGCUGAGGCGGGACAUUCGCCCGUUUCCCACUCAGUUACUCCAUGAAGAUUUAUGCAGAGCAGGGAUCACUGCUCCCAUUUCCCAGAUGUGAAAAUUGAGACCCGAACAGGCAAAGGAAUUUGUUUCCAACCACGUAGUUGCCAAGUAAUAAAAUAAAUGUAGCUCAGAUGGAUUGCACGUUUACUCUGAGCCAGGUCCACACGCAAGAGCUUGAUUUGUUGAGUAGGUCAGGGUCCCAGGAAGCAGACCUGAGAUAAAGAUCCCUGUGCAAGAGACUCGUUACCAAGGUGUGCCCAGGUGGGGGGACAGGGAGGAAGUGGCGUUGCAGAACAGGGCAGGGGAGGAAGCCAAGCAAGGGUCUGAUGUCAGACAACGCCCUGGCCCAGCCUUGGGCAUAGAGAGCACCCUGCAGUCAGUCCCACCUGGAAGCUUUCACAUGCCUGCUCCGGCCAGUCAUCGGCUAUGGGCCACGCCAGGGGCACAUGAACUGCCCGGCUCGUGAGGCUGCUGCGUCCCUGGUCAGGCCUCCCAAUAAGGGGUCCUUAUUGGCAUCGAAACACACAGGAGCUUUGGUAACAUGUCAGAGGGCUUGGCGGUGGGCACCGGCAGUGCCCACUCACAUGCAUUAGCUCAUUUGUUCCUUACAGCAACCCCAGGUGGUACUGUCACCCCCACUUUGCAGAUGGGGGCAAUGAGGCACAGAGAAGUGGAGCUACUUGCCCGGCGUCACACAGCUGGCGAACGUCAGAGGCCUGUACCCAGCUCCUGUUCUCUUCUGGGAGGAAGGAGGUUUCCAGGCAUGUCUUCCAAGCCCGGAAGGACACAGGAACCCCGCCACCAGCCCUCACAGCCUGUCAUCCCACCACGACAGAAUCUGGCUCUGUGAAUCUUUCAAAUGUUUCUUUAAACAAUGGAGGCACCUGACGUGGUGGCCCAUGCCUGUAGUCCCAGCUACU
Long non-coding RNA from Microcebus murinus (gray mouse lemur), 3176 nucleotides. RefSeq lists it as uncharacterized. The record is from RefSeq and is a predicted model, not a curated record. Lineage: Eukaryota; Metazoa; Chordata; Mammalia; Primates; Cheirogaleidae.